Phrynosoma platyrhinos (Desert horned lizard) is the source of this 72-nucleotide non-coding RNA. NCBI's taxonomy places the organism in Eukaryota, Metazoa, Chordata, Lepidosauria, Squamata, Phrynosomatidae. The record is from the annotation of a GenBank genome assembly.
GGCCAACAUGGUGUAAUGGUUUGAAUGUUGGACUAAGACCUAGAAGACCAAGGUUUGAAUCCCUGUUGGCCA